UGACCAGCUUCCAGCCUGUGGAACGGUCCGGGUCCACCCCAACCCCCGUCCCGAAAUUGGGCUCGCCCAGCGGCGCUCUGCCCCUAUCCCGCCCCCGCAGGCGGUUUCGUCGGGUUACGCCCACGGGCCACAUCCGGCCCGUGGGGCUCCUUGCAGGUGCGGAAGCGUAGCACUGCGUUGCUACACGGGUGGGAAGUGUCGGGGCCCUGCCCGCUGGGCGGUGAUCGCAGUGCGCGGUGGCUGCACCAAGGCCCGGGGGGCCGAGCGAGGGCAGGUCCCGGGCCCCGGGCAGCAGUCCCAGCGCGCUGCACUGGAGCUCGAUCCUCGUGACUGGCCCACAGACGGCCCUGCGCUGCUCAUCUGGUCCGAGGGGCCAGAAGGUUGAGCACCACCGGGUUAGACGAGGGAUUUGUACGGGAUGGUUUGGAUAGGGAUGAUCCUACCUCAGGCACGGGACUGGACUACAUCUCUGGAGGUCUCUUCCAGCCCGGCUUCUCUGUGAUUCCGUAUGAACGAUGCCAUCACUCCCUCACCACCACAUUUUUGAACCCCCAAGGGCUGGAUGACACGGCUCCGUCAGCUGGCUCUGGGCCAUGAGGUGCAGGCACUGAGCACUAGUGCCAGGGGCCAGUAGUUCUCAUGAGACUCGAGACGGCCCGUUGGAAACAGCCAGCCCCUAGCUUACAGGGGCAUCGGUCUUUACUACUUCCAUCCAGGAAGGCUGCACACCAGUUGCAGGUGCUUCCUCAGCCUGACGAAGGGUAUGUGUACCCAAAAGCUUGUUAAGAAGAAUUUGUCCAACUAUUUGAGUCAGUCUAAUAAAAGAUACCAGAUUUACUCCCAAAACCUUGAUCUCCUAGCUUGUCCCUCAGGUUUUGACUACUGAAAAAUAACAGCAAUUCUCCUGUGGUAAAGAACUUGGAAGGAUUGCAGCCGGUCAGACACAUUUUAACACUAUGGAUUCCUAUUUGAAAUUGCUGGGUUUGGCCUGUGAAUCAUGCAUAGGUGCCAAGACUGAGCAGCAUCCUUAAAAGGAUUUCACGGCACCCUGGCUGAGAAUCUGCUAUAGACUCUGUCUAUACUAGAAGGGCCUUGUCAUUGCCAUGCUCUGUUACCUGCCAUGUCCAAGAAAAGUGUUGGGAACUACAUCAGGACUUGUAUAUGGCCUUCAUUGACGUUACUAAGUCCUUUGAUUCCAUCAGUCAGGAGGCCUUGUGAAAAGCACCAGCCAGAUUUGGCUAUCCUGACAACUACAUCAAGGUUUUGAGGCUCCUCCACAACCAGAUGACUGCGACAGGUCUAUGUACCAGUUUGAAGACAGAUGCAUUUGUCAUCUGAACUGGGGUCAAGCAAGGUUAUGUCAUCACCCCAAUCUUGUUCUCUCUCUUUUUUGACACUCAUUCUAGUCAUCCUAAGGACCACCUUCCUUCUGGAAUUGACUUUGAGUACCAAAUGGAAGGAAGACUUCAAUCUGGGACAUUUUCUCUCAAAGACCAAAGUACUCAAAACAACCAUUGUUGACCUUCAGUACACAGAGAACUGCACCAUGCUUGCACACAUGGGUGACUGGUGCCUCCUGAAUCUGGGGGGGGGCACCCACAGAAGCCAGCAGCGGGGAUGGGGCUGGAGCACCUGCAGACACCACCGGUGGCAUCGGGGAUGGCCCUGUCAGGGGGGUCGCAUGCCCCCCCACUCCCCCCAUGCCUCUCCUACCAGUCGCCUAUGCUUGGACACACUGAGGAAAUCCUCCAGGUGUCACUGGAUCUUUGGGCCUCUCUCAACACCAAGAAGACUAAACUGCUCUAUCAGCCUGCUCCAGGCUAUGAAUGCGACCCACCUCCCUAAAUUACCAUUGAGGGGAAAACUGUGGAAGUAAUCGCACAUUUCCCUUACCUCUCUCAGAGUGAAGAUGGUUGAGGAGAACAAGCACAGGAUUUGGUGCACAAGUGCUUCCUUUGGAAAAUUAUUUCAGCAUGUCUUUAUUCAUCGCAAUCUCCAGAAAGACACCAAGACGCAGGUUUACAUUGCAGUCAUCAUCACCACCCUCCUCUCCAGGUCUGAAAUGUGGAUGACCUACCAUCAUCAUCUCGAGAGGUGGAGAAGUCAAUCUCAAUGCUAUUCCUGUAUUGCUGGAGAGGUAUCACGAACGAUACAUCCAGAAAAUCCUCCAUAUCAAAUGGGAAGAUUGCUGCACAAACCCCAGCAUCCUUGCUGAAGCCAAUGUUACCAGCAUUGAGUUGGUGAUCCUCAAGCACCAACUUUGCUGGACCAGACAUUGUGUGUGGAUGCCUGACUCAACUCCCAAAACGAAUGUUCUACUCCCAGCUUAGUAACAGCUUGAAAUCUUGAUUUUGCAGUGGCCAGAGAAAAUGCUACAAGGACACAUUGAAAGCAUACCUCAAGAAAACAUGCUGAAAUCGAGUUGGGAGGAGCUGGCUGCCGACCAACUCCAAUGGCACUGCAACCUCAACCAGUGAUAGCUCAUUUUGAAGUAAAGCAUCUUGCCCUAAAAGCAGAGAAGAGAGAGCGGAGAAAAGAAAAGGAGAGGCAUCCCAGCCUGCAGCUUACUCUCCCCUAUGGAAGGACCUGCACCUCUGUGGUUCGUUCAAAGAUUGGACUCAAGUCACCUCAAGACCUAUCAGUGAGCCAUAGUAGAGAUCAUUAUCUAAUCAAGGGAUUGCAGCUGCUGCUGACUAGAGGGGCAGCUGCUACUGCUGCUUUGACAAUGGUGUCUGGGCCUGCAGACAUGAAUGCAGCUUUGCUGAAGGAGAUUUAGAGUUACACCCACCUCCUUUCCACAGCAGAAGAUGGGUGGUUUGCUUGUAGAGCUCUGCCAUGGAUUAUGAUCCCUUUACACCCCUGGCCUUCCUGGCUGAUUUGGCAUAACUUUGCAGGGGUUCUCAAAGUUUUUAUACCGCAGCCCAGCAGUCACAGCCAACUGUGGCCGGAAUUUCCAGCUGGAAGACAGUGCCCCUCUUCUGGAAGGAUCCCACACUGUUGGAAACAUAAAUGAUCUGGAAAAUGGGUUGGAGUGCAUCCUCAGCAGGUUUGCAGAUGACACCAAGGUAAGGGGAAUAGUAGAUGUGCUGGAGGGUAGUGCUAAGAUUCAGAAAGCCCUAGACAAAUUGGAGGAUUGGACCAAAAGAAACCUCAUGAAGUUCAUUAAGGACAAGUGCAAAGUCCUGCACUUGGGACAGAACAGUCCCAUGCACUGGUACAGACUGUGGACUGACUGGCUAAGCAGCAGCGCUGCAGAAAAGAACCUGGGGGUUACAGUGGACAAUAAGCUGAAUAUAAGCCAACAGUGUGCCCUUGUUACCAAGAAGGCUAACGGCAUACUGGGCUGCAUUGGUAGGUGUGCUGCCAGCAGAUCGAGGGAAGUGAUUAUUCCUCUCUGUUCGGCGCUGGUGAGGCCACAUCUGGAGUACUGUAUCCAGUUUUGGGUCUCCCACUACAGAAAGGAUGUGGACAAAUUGGAGAGAGUCCAGCAGAGGGCAAAAAAAUAGGAGGCUGAGGGAACUGGCCUUAUUUAAUCUGGAGAAGACUGGGGAUUUAAUAGCAAGCCUUCAACUACCUGACUGGUGGCUACAAAGAAGAUGGGGCUAGAUUAUUUUCAGUGGUGGCAGAUAACAGAACAAGGAGCAAUGGUGUCAAGUUGCAGCAAAUCACACACCGCUGGUUAUGACGUGUUACCCCUCCCUCGAACCUGUACGGAAAAUCCUCAAGCAAUUGCAACCCAUACUAGAAAGAGACCCUAUUCUUAAAAAGAUCUUCCCAGAGCCACCCAUCCUAGCCUUCAAACAAGCACUGAACCUUGCUAACCUCACCACCAGAAGCAAACUUCCUCAAGCUCAGAACACACCAAAGGGAUCCAAAUUGUGCCAUGACAAGAAAUGCAAAACCUGCCAACACAUCUCCACCACCCCCACAAUAACUACACCCCACAACAGAGCCAUCAGCAUUCCAGGAUCUUACAGCUGCACCUCCAGAAUUGUAAUAUACCUCAUCCAAUGCACCAAAUGCCCUGAUGGAAAAUAUGUAGGAGAGACCAAACAACAACUGCGCACCAGAAUGAAUGCACACUGGAAAUCCAUCAAAGACAGGAAUACCCAGUUACCAGUGGGGUUAUAUUUCUCACAAGAAAACCACUCUCUCUCCAAUCUCUCAGUCCUGAUCCUCAAAGGAAACUUACAAAACACUUCCCAGAGACGAGCCUAUGAACUCCACUUCAUCAACCUCCUGGACACUAAAAAUCAUGAACUAAAUAUAGGCAGACAAGAUUCCUUGGGUGAAUCUGAUAUCUUUUAUUAG
Alligator mississippiensis (American alligator) is the source of this 4311-nucleotide long non-coding RNA. RefSeq lists it as uncharacterized. The record is from RefSeq and is a predicted model, not a curated record. The transcript has 3 exons. Lineage: Eukaryota; Metazoa; Chordata; Crocodylia; Alligatoridae.